CAGCCGCCGCGGUAAUACGGAGGGGGCUAGCGUUGUUUGGAAUUACUGGGCGUAAAGCGCACGUAGGCGGCUAUGUAAGUCAGAGGUGAAAGCCCGGGGCUCAACCCCGGAACUGCCUUUGAAACUAGGUGACUAGAAUCUUGGAGAGGUCAGUGGAAUUCCGAGUGUAGAGGUGAAAUUCGUAGAUAUUCGGAAGAACACCAGUGGCGAAGGCGACCGACUGGACAAGUAUUGACGCUGAGGUGCGAAAGCGUGGGGAGCAAACAGGAUUAGAUACCCCCGUAGUCCCUGUCUCUUAUAC
This 301-nucleotide ribosomal RNA is filed under the name uncultured bacterium. RNAcentral describes it as "partial 16S ribosomal RNA". It matches the Rfam family "Bacterial small subunit ribosomal RNA", at positions 509 to 807 of the family's 1533-position model. The record is from RNAcentral.